This 491-nucleotide ribosomal RNA is filed under the name uncultured bacterium. RNAcentral's name for it is "partial 16S ribosomal RNA". It matches the Rfam family "Bacterial small subunit ribosomal RNA", at positions 29 to 506 of the family's 1533-position model. The record is from RNAcentral.
AGUGAACGCUGGCGGUAGGCCUAACACAUGCAAGUCGAACGGCAGCACAGUAAGAGCUUGCUCUUACGGGUGGCGAGUGGCGGACGGGUGAGGAAUACAUCGGAAUCUACUUUUUCGUGGGGGAUAACGUAGGGAAACUUACGCUAAUACCGCAUACGACCUACGGGUGAAAGCAGGGGAUCUUCGGACCUUGCGCGAUUGAAUGAGCCGAUGUCGGAUUAGCUAGUUGGCGGGGUAAAGGCCCACCAAGGCGACGAUCCGUAGCUGGUCUGAGAGGAUGAUCAGCCACAUGGGAACUGAGACACGGUCCAGACCCCAACGGGAGGCAGCAGUGGGGAAUAUUGGACAAGGGGCGCAAGCCUGAUCCAGCCAUACCGCGUGGGUGAAGAAGGCCUUCGGGUUGUAAAGCCCUUUUGUUGGGAAAGAAAAGCAGCAGGUUAAUACCCCGCUGUUCUGACGGUACCCAAAGAAUAAGCACCGGCUAACUUCGU